CUGAAGCUGUAAAGACCAGCAUCAGCUGGUUCUCAUUGUGAAGUGGCUCCCCCAGUCAGUUUCACUUCAUGGACACCAGCACAAAGUCAUUAAAGGCAGUGGUAAGUGAUAGAAGAGCGAGACCCUCCUCCACAGGACAAUGUCCUCCUGAAGUCACUGACCUUCUGCCUCAGCAGAGCCACAAACCAAUCCGCCAGGAGAACCGAGGGGCCCGUGCACUGCAGGAGGGAAGAUGAAACAAGCAGUGGGGAAAGGCUGGAAAGGGAAUACCAGAAGCCAGAAGUGGUGCUGAAGACUUAAUCUCGUGAAACCACAGCCUCACUCUUCCAGCCAGGAAAAAGUCAGCAGCUGCUGACCAGCACUGUUUUUUCUAACACUUCAGAGCCCCCUUUGAACUCUUUCACAGUCCUUGGGGGAUUGCAGCCCACAGUUAGGGAAACUCUGCCCUGGGCUGGCCAUUCAGUUGUAAUACACUGGGACCAAUUUUCCAAGGAACAGAAAUUUCCCUGGCUGUUGGCACACGAAAGCUAUCUGCUGGGGAACAUGCCUUUUUCCACCCAGCGUGGUGAGAAAUCCCGAGGAUUCUGAUGGGGAAAAAUGCAACUGGUCAAAUAUAGCUCUGGUUAGAAAGUCGUCUUCACCCACAACGUGUGUUGACAAUGACAAACAAAAAAUAUUUUCUUUAAAAGGUUUAUG
Molecule: long non-coding RNA, 696 nt
Organism: Cygnus olor (mute swan)
Lineage: Eukaryota; Metazoa; Chordata; Aves; Anseriformes; Anatidae
Exons: 2
Source: RefSeq, a predicted model, not a curated record